AACGAACGCUGGCGGCAGGCUUAACACAUGCAAGUCGAACGCCCCGCAAGGGGAGUGGCAGACGGGUGAGUAACGCGUGGGAAUCUACCCAGAUCUACGGAACAACAGAGGGAAACUUCUGCUAAUACCGUAUACGCCCUACGGGGGAAAGAUUUAUCGGAUUUGGAUGAGCCCGCGUAAGAUUAGCUAGUUGGUGAGGUAAUGGCUCACCAAGGCGACGAUCUUUAGCUGGUCUGAGAGGAUGAUCAGCCACACUGGGACUGAGACACGGCCCAGACUCCUACGGGAGGCAGCAGUGGGGAAUAUUGGACAAUGGGCGCAAGCCUGAUCCAGCCAUGCCGCGUGAGUGAUGAAGGCCUUAGGGUUGUAAAGCUCUUUCAGUAGGGAAGAUAAUGACGGUACCUACAGAAGAAGCCCCGGCUAACUUCGUGCCAGCCGCCGCCGUAA
This 447-nucleotide ribosomal RNA is filed under the name uncultured bacterium. RNAcentral's name for it is "partial 16S ribosomal RNA". It matches the Rfam family "Bacterial small subunit ribosomal RNA", at positions 29 to 523 of the family's 1533-position model. The record is from RNAcentral.